UCCGUCUUACGAGGCAGUCCCGCUAGAGUGCUCAGCAUGACCUGUUAGCAACUAACGGCAGGGGUUUCGCUCGUUAUGGGACUUAACCCGACAUCUCACGACACGAGCUGACGACAGCCAUGCAACACCUGCACAGGAUUUCUCUUGCGAGUUGGCCGACGUUUCUGCCGGUUACAUCCUGAUGUCUAGGCCUGGUAAGGUUCUUCGCGUUGCUUCGAAUUGAACCACAUGCUCCACCGCUUGUGUGAGCCCCCGUCAAUUCCUUUGAGUUUUACCCUUGCGAGCAUACUCCCCAGGCGGUGCACUUAACGCUUUUGCUUGGGGAGGGAGCGAGUUAGGACCCGCCCUCUCCCUAGUGCACAUCGUUUACGGCAUGGACUAC
RNAcentral lists this unclassified non-coding RNA (382 nucleotides) under uncultured Planctomycetota bacterium. RNAcentral describes it as "uncultured planctomycete contains 16S-23S intergenic spacer region". Lineage: Bacteria; Pseudomonadati; Planctomycetota. The record is from RNAcentral.